GAGUGAGAAAGAGAAGAAUAUGAAUUAAAAAAUAUUAAAAAUGAAAUGGGAAAAUUGAAUAACAAUCAUCGUCGUAAAAUAAAGCACAGAUCAUCGUCGAACUUCACAACGGCUCUACAGGUGAAGCGUGUGAAUUGAAAGUGAUGAAACAAAAUUGAACAUUUAGAAUAAAUAAAUUAAUUCAUAACAAAAUCAUGGAGAUAACAUAAGCCAAAAGUGAUGAAACUAUGUUACCCAAAACAAAACAAAAAAAAGAUGAUUCAACUAUUUCUCUUCCCUCUUCUUCCGUUGUAGCACUACUACUUUUCUUACCCUAAUCAUACUCAAGCAACAACUCAACUACAUAAAAGUUAAGCUAAAUAUGCAGAACAUGAUAAUCAGCAUUUGGGCCUUUUGUUUAAGCCAUAAGCAAGUAAACCGUCGUCGCCCAUAUGCCAAACCAUCCUUGCCUUCUCUCUCUACACACACACACACACUCUCUCUCUUGGGUCGAGAAUCAAAUUGAAAAACCCACCUGCCAGAUUAAAGAAAGAGGGAGCAAGGAAUUUACUCUUUGAAUCAUCGAGACAAUGUUAGGAAGAUAAACCAUGCGUGUUAUAUAAAUUAUCAGCAAUGAUAAAUAAAAAAUGUCAAAGUAAGAGUCAAUACAAUCAAAUAGGCUACUCAUGAGGCGAGAAAGAAGUUGGAACAAGGUAGAAUGGUGAGCCAAAAGUAUAGAUAUUUAAGAAAAAUGCGUAAUCCACAAUUAAAUGGAACAAAUAAACGAUGACAGAAAUCACUUACCAUGGUCAUAGUUAUCUGUUUAGUACUAUCUUCAAGGUGCUUUCAAAUGCGAACAGUCUGGUCAUUAACUCUUUUAUAGAUUAAUUUCUACUAAACAAUCAUUAACUCUCUCUCUCUCUCUCUCUCUCUCUCUCUCUCUCUCUCUCGUGCCACAACCCCCGUCUCAUGGCCAACCUCUCCAUCCCCUCACAGUCACACGAAACAACCCAACCUGCUCCGCCUCGGCCAACCUCCCCUAGCAUAAACCCCACGAGCACAAAAUAACUAAUACCAGUUUAAUUGAAGCAAUUAAGAAAUGACCAAUGAAACAUCAUCAUAAAGUUUUCAAUGAAAGGUGAAAAAGGCACCAAUUGUAUUAGGAGGAAAAUAUAUCAGAAAGUGCAACUGUGAAAUAGAGAAAAGAAAGAGAGUAAUAUACCUCUGAAAAUGGU
RNAcentral lists this long non-coding RNA (1214 nucleotides) under Malus domestica (apple). RNAcentral describes it as "long non-coding RNA (MDOM_LNC003233)". The record is from RNAcentral. Lineage: Eukaryota; Viridiplantae; Streptophyta; Magnoliopsida; Rosales; Rosaceae.